AGUGAACGCUGGCGGCAGGCCUAACACAUGCAAGUCGAACGGCAGCACAAGAGAGCUUGCUCUCUGGGUGGCGAGUGGCGGACGGGUGAGGAAUGCAUCGGAAUCUGCCCAUUUGUGGGGGAUAACCUCGGGAAACCGGGACUAAUACCGCAUACGACCUACGGGUGAAAGCAGGGGAUCUUCGGACCUUGCGCAGAUGGAUGAGCCGAUGCCGGAUUAGCUAGUUGGAGGGGUAAAGGCCCACCAAGGCGACGAUCCGUAGCUGGUCUGAGAGGAUGAUCAGCCACACUGGGACUGAGACACGGCCCAGACUCCUACGGGAGGCAGAAGUGGGGAAUAUUGGACAAUGGGCGCAAGCCUGGUCCAGCCAUGCCGCGUGUGUGAAGAAGGCCUUCGGGUUGUAAAGCACUUUUGUUGGGAAAGAAAAGCAGCCGGUUAAUACCCGGUUGUCAUGACGGUACCCAAAGAAUAAGCACCGGCUAACUUCGUG
This 490-nucleotide ribosomal RNA is filed under the name uncultured bacterium. Its description in RNAcentral is "partial 16S ribosomal RNA". It matches the Rfam family "Bacterial small subunit ribosomal RNA", at positions 29 to 507 of the family's 1533-position model. The record is from RNAcentral.